Molecule: long non-coding RNA, 1049 nt
Organism: Xenopus laevis (African clawed frog)
Lineage: Eukaryota; Metazoa; Chordata; Amphibia; Anura; Pipidae
Exons: 3
Source: RefSeq, a predicted model, not a curated record
UUUCCUACUGUCUCCAUCUUGCCCUACUGUCUCCAUCUUGUCCUACUGACUCCAUCUUUUCCUACUGUCUCCAUCUUGCCCUACUGUCCCCAUCUUGCCCUACUGUCUCCAUCUUGUGUAACCUUCUACUCAAAGAGAUUCGUUUGUCUCACAUGACACGGGCACCCCUCCUCGGAUAGCUAAAAUUCGACCAUUUCACUGAGGGCAGACGGUUAGGGGAACCUUCAUAGCGUAUCCUCACAUCGGAAUCGAGCCCUUUCGGCUGGGGAGCAGUCCUUAGAGGGUCAGACAGCUCAAAGAAUAGGGAAGCCGGAUGAGAAAAAGCUGCAGAUCAAUCUGUUAGUUCAAUUUACUCCAAAAGCUGGGAAGCAGACUGCCUAAACAGCCAAUACCUAGACCCAGAAAAAACUGAAGUAUUUCCCAGUGUGUGUAAAUACGAGAGGGCAAGAUGAGGAGAGCGCAGAAGAAGGGCUAAGCAGCUUCCCCAGAAACAUCAAUUCUGUCAGCCCCAUGUUCCAUUUCAACACAACAGAGAAUCUCUAUAAGAAGUAUGUGUUCCUUGACCCACUUGCUGGGGUCGUGACUCGUACUAACUCUGCAUUAGAAGGAGAUGAUGAAGACAAGCUUUUUUAAGCGCCCCUAUCCAUCACAAAGAGGGAGCAGCAAGUAGGCAGUUGGUCACUGGAUGUUCUAACAGGUUAUUGUUUCCUUCUUUCCCUUUAGACACCAGAGAAUUACUUCUAUGUACCAGACCUGAGACAGGUCCCCGAAAUAGAUGUCCCUUACUCUCUGCUGGACUUGCUGGGGGUGGCUGAUGAUCUCAUGUAUAGCUCUGACCUUGGGCCUGGUAUCGCUCCUUAUGCACCCGGAGUUCUUAUACCUGAUAUAUAUAAAUAUAUACAGGUAUGGGAUCCUAUAGAGAUACCAUUUUAUUUGUAACUGCACUGGAAAGCCCGGAAUGUGCUGAUCAUUGGCCACAAAAUUAUAUAUAUAAGUAUUAACAGGUAUGGGACUUUGUUAUCCAGAUCCCAGACCUGGGGUUUUCCGGA